RNAcentral lists this unclassified non-coding RNA (300 nucleotides) under uncultured Lentitheciaceae. Its description in RNAcentral is "sequence contains 5.8S rRNA gene, ITS2". The stretch from base 1 to 86 matches the Rfam family "5.8S ribosomal RNA", at positions 67 to 154 of the family's 154-position model. The record is from RNAcentral. Lineage: Eukaryota; Fungi; Ascomycota; Dothideomycetes; Pleosporales; Lentitheciaceae.
GGGUAUAAGGGACAGGUGAAUCAUCGAAUCUUUGAACGCACAUUGCGCCCCUUGGUACUCCAUGGGGCAUGCCUGUUCGAGCGUCAUUUACACCCUCAAGCUCAGCUUGGUGUUGGGCGUCUGUCCCGCUUCGUGCGCGGACUCGCCUCAAAUGCAUUGGCAGCGGUCUUGCCAGCUUCUCGCGCAGCACAUUGCGCUUCUAGAGGCUUUGGCGGAUCGGCGUCCAUCAAGUACACCCACAGUUUGACCUCGGAUCAGGUAGGGAUACCCGCUGAACUUAAGCAUAUCAAUAAGCGGAGG